Schistosoma curassoni is the source of this 46-nucleotide non-coding RNA. NCBI's taxonomy places the organism in Eukaryota, Metazoa, Platyhelminthes, Trematoda, Strigeidida, Schistosomatidae. The record is from Rfam.
GUACUGCUGAAGAGUGCCACAAUAGGACGAAACGCCCGUCCAGUAC